UACGGAGGGUGCAAGCGUUGUCCGGAUUCAUUGGGUUUAAAGGGUGCGCAGGCGGGGAAUUAAGUCAGGGGUGAAAGACGGUUGCUCAACAAUCGCAGUGCCUUUGAUACUGGUUUUCUUGGGUGACCUUGAGGUAGGCGGAAUGGGGGGUGUAGCGGUGAAAUGCAUAGAUACCCCCCAGAACUCCGAUUGCGAAGGCAGCCUACUGGAGGUUAACCGACGCUCAGGCACGAAAGCGUGGGGAUCAAACAGG
Molecule: ribosomal RNA, 253 nt
Filed under: uncultured bacterium
Lineage: Bacteria
Description: partial 16S ribosomal RNA
Rfam family: Bacterial small subunit ribosomal RNA
Source: RNAcentral